GCGGGAGUAACUCAGUGGUAGAGUUCUUGCUUGCCAAGCAAGUUGUCGCGAGUUCGAAUCUCGUCUCCCGCU
Molecule: transfer RNA, 72 nt
Filed under: Candidatus Sericytochromatia bacterium
Lineage: Bacteria; Bacillati; Candidatus Sericytochromatia
Description: tRNA-Gly
Rfam family: tRNA
About the family: Transfer RNA (tRNA) molecules are approximately 80 nucleotides in length.
Source: RNAcentral